This 374-nucleotide unclassified non-coding RNA is filed under the name uncultured bacterium. RNAcentral describes it as "contains 16S-23S intergenic spacer region". The record is from RNAcentral.
UCACUACUUGCGUAGGCAGUCCGGCUAGAGUCCCCACCACUACGUGCUGGUAACUAACCACAGGGGUUGCGCUCGUUGCGGGACUUAACCCAACAUUUCACAACACGAGCUGACGACAGCCAUGCACCACCUGUGCUACACCCUCGAAGGCGACCACGUUUCGGCGGCUUGCAGUAGCAUGUCAAGCCCUGGUAAGGUUCUUCGCGUUGCAUCGAAUUAAGCCACAUGCUCCACCGCUUGUGCGGGCCCCCGCCAAUUCCUUUGAGUUUCAACCUUGCGGUCGUAGUCCCCAGGCGGUUCACUUAAUGCGUUAGCUGCGGCACCGAGGGCAAAACCCCCGACACCUAGUGAACAUCGUUUAGGGCUGGGAAUAC